RNAcentral lists this ribosomal RNA (477 nucleotides) under uncultured Comamonadaceae bacterium. RNAcentral's name for it is "bacterial SSU rRNA". It matches the Rfam family "Bacterial small subunit ribosomal RNA", at positions 97 to 570 of the family's 1533-position model. The record is from RNAcentral. Lineage: Bacteria; Pseudomonadati; Pseudomonadota; Betaproteobacteria; Burkholderiales; Comamonadaceae.
GGCGGACGGGUGAGUAAUGCAUCGGAACGUGCCCAAUCGUGGGGGAUAACGCAGCGAAAGCUGUGCUAAUACCGCAUACGAUCUACGGAUGAAAGCGGGGGACCUUCGGGCCUCGCGCGAAUGGAGCGGCCGAUGUUAGAUUAGGUAGUUGGUGGGGUAAAGGCUCACCAAGCCGACGAUCUAUAGCUGGUCUGAGAGGACGACCAGCCACACUGGAACUGAGACACGGUCCAGACUCCUACGGGAGGCAGCAGUGGGGAAUUUUGGACAAUGGGCGAAAGCCUGAUCCAGCAGUACCGCGUGCAGGAAGAAGGCCUUCGGGUUGUAAACUGCUUUUGUACGGAACGAAAAGGCUCUUUCUAAUAAAGAGGGCUCAUGACGGUACCGUAAGAAUAAGCACCGGCUAACUACGUGCCAGCAGCCGCGGUAAUACGUAGGGUGCGAGCGUUAAUCGGAAUUACUGGGCGUAAAGCGUGC